RNAcentral lists this ribosomal RNA (303 nucleotides) under Ralstonia sp. COALHOPBA607. RNAcentral's name for it is "partial 16S ribosomal RNA". It matches the Rfam family "Bacterial small subunit ribosomal RNA", at positions 26 to 325 of the family's 1533-position model. Lineage: Bacteria; Pseudomonadati; Pseudomonadota; Betaproteobacteria; Burkholderiales; Burkholderiaceae. The record is from RNAcentral.
AGAUUGAACGCUGGCGGCAUGCCUUACACAUGCAAGUCGAACGGCAGCAUGAUCUAGCUUGCUAGAUUGAUGGCGAGUGGCGAACGGGUGAGUAAUACAUCGGAACGUGCCCNGUAGUGGGGGAUAACUAGUNGAAAGAUUNGCUAAUACCGCAUACGNCCUGAGGGNGAAAGNNGGGGACCGNAAGGCCUCAUGCUAUAGGAGNGGCCGAUGUCNGAUUAGCUAGUUGGUGNGGUAAAGGCUCACCAAGGCGACGAUCAGUAGCUGGUCUGAGAGGACGNUCAGNCACACUGGGACUGAGAC